RNAcentral lists this ribosomal RNA (484 nucleotides) under uncultured bacterium. RNAcentral describes it as "partial 16S ribosomal RNA". It matches the Rfam family "Bacterial small subunit ribosomal RNA", at positions 30 to 507 of the family's 1533-position model. The record is from RNAcentral.
AUUGAACGCUGGCGGCAGGCCUAACACAUGCAAGUCGAGCGGAUGAAGGGAGCUUGCUCCUGGAUUCAGCGGCGGACGGGUGAGUAAUGCCUAGGAAUCUGCCUGGUAGUGGGGGAUAACGUCCGGAAACGGGCGCUAAUACCGCAUACGUCCUGAGGGAGAAAGUGGGGGAUCUUCGGACCUCACGCUAUCAGAUGAGCCUAGGUCGGAUUAGCUAGUUGGUGGGGUAAAGGCCUACCAAGGCGACGAUCCGUAACUGGUCUGAGAGGAUGACCAGUCACACUGGAACUGAGACACGGUCCAGACUCCUACGGGAGGCAGCAGUGGGGAAUAUUGGACAAAGGGCGAAAGCCUGAUCUAGCCAUGCCGCGUGUGUGAAGAAGGUCUUCGGAUUGUAAAGCACUUUAAGUUGGGAGGAAGGGCAGUAAGUUAAUACCUUGCUGUUUUGACGUUACCAACAGAAUAAGCACCGGCUAACUUCGUG